Cygnus olor (mute swan) is the source of this 3971-nucleotide long non-coding RNA. RefSeq lists it as uncharacterized. The record is from RefSeq and is a predicted model, not a curated record. NCBI's taxonomy places the organism in Eukaryota, Metazoa, Chordata, Aves, Anseriformes, Anatidae. The transcript is spliced from 5 exons.
GCAGGGCACUGCUGGGACCCUGCAUGGAAGCUGGGAACUCAAGCAGAUGACUGGCUAGGUGAUGGUUUGAGAACCGGAAAAGGAAAAUAUGCCUUGAGUCUUGAGACAUCCCAGGAGAUCGUGUUCCUACUUUGCCAUCUUCCUGAUUAUGGGAAAACACAAAUCUAAGGCAGGAGAGCAAGAAGGAAAUGGUGUUUGUAACCAACCCAUGUCAAUGCCACUGGGCUUUACAUCUCGUGUCUCCCCUGCCCACAAGCUGAGGAGUACAAUUUAAAUUACAUGAAGUCUUUCCUUUCCCCAUUGCACUAUUGUGGCCUGUGAGCGGCCCUCAGCAGGGUGGUGAGGACAGACCUGUGUGCAUCUGCAGGCCACGCCUAUCUUCCCCAGGCUGUUCAGCUCUCUCAGCCAGUCAGGACAUGGCACAUCGUGUCUGGGGGGUGUGUACAGGGCCUCAUUGGCUCUGCUGCUCCAGCUCUGCUCCCAAUUUCAGCUCUGCUGGGGCUAAAGGUGCUCCUGCCAUGGCACAGGGCCCACCGUGCCCACCAGGGCAGGUGGCAGCGACCGCCAUUUUGUCAAACUGCUGCUGGGGGAAACUGCAGCCACCAAAAUGGUGGGUGUCUCUGGGACAUUUAUUUCUCCUCAGAGGGCCCUGGGACUUGCUGGUCUACUCCAAAAACAGGCUUACAGCUGCGGCUCAGUGGCAGCUGGCAGAGCUGAUUCAAGCACUGGAAUACCUUCCCUGCAUGUCUUUCUAUUGAAAAGCCAGCACAGGAUAUGUCAGCAGCCACUGAGGCAGCAAGUCCUUUGCAGAAGGGGCUGUUGAUGUACUUACUGAGAGAUGGUGAUGAGUUGUCCAGGGCUGAAGCAAGUACUGCUGCUAGCUGGUGAGACCCUGGAGCAGACCACGCUUAUACUGAACUCCAGCAAUCUGAACCUGCCAGGUGCAAGAAGGGGCAGUGGAGAGGCAGGUGUGUGGCCAACGGACAGAGAUGGGACUGUACUCUCCUGCUGCAGAACAACGACAAGGACUCUUGCCAAGGAGUAAAGUAACAAAACAUGAACCCCCCCCCUUAACCUUUCUCGACCAGAACAGGCCUCCACCUGCCAGUCCUGAGGUGCCAGUCCACCUCCACCUGCCUGGGCCUGGGCUGUGGCCUUUGAAUUUGAGUCUUGAUGCAGUUGCUCGUGCCAAGUAUAUCACAAAAACACCACCUUGGUAUUAGUGUACAACUGAAAUAAUGUGCAAAGGAUGUUCCUAAGAAACACCAGUUGGCCCUCAGAGUGAAAUCCUGAUUUGCUAGCUGUACACUGUCAACUGAAUGUGUUCACAAGGCCUAUGGAUAAACGUGAGUUGAGGCUUCUGGAAAAGGAUGUAUUUGUUCCUUACUAAGCUUACUGCUCCUAUCUGCAAAUCUCUUAGCAACUUGACAUGUUACAAAAUAUCUAUGCUUUAACUUUUAUGGAGCUUUAUCUCUUUGUCUGGGGCAGGUGAUAGGGUGAGCAGAGCUGUUGAAGAAUCACCAAUGGUAAAUGAAGUUUUAUGUUUGAUUAAGUGAGCAGUUUUUUUGAGAUUAUUCUUGCAUCUUAACUAAUUCACUUUAAAGAAAGUACUAUGGUAAGUGUUGGCUCCUCAUACUACAGCAAAAAAAACAGUUUCCAUCACAGAUAGCGUAAGCAAAUCACAUAAAGAAUUUUUGCUUUUACUAGAAGGCCCAGCACAGGGCUGUACAAAUAUAUAAUACGUCAUUGGCAAUGCUCUGAAGAAUGUACAGAGCAGGAUGACAAAGCACAGAUUACUUACAAACUAUAAACAAUUACAAAUGCAUAAAUAUUUUGCAGUCUACUUUUUGCCUACACCCAUUACAGGAUUCAAAUCUAAAACGAGACAGAUUCUAGGUGCCCAGCUCCAACUGACGAACCAAAACUGAGCUUGAUGCCAGUGAGGCCUCCAUGAUAGGGAGGGAUUGUCAACAUUUAUUUGACUUAUACAGACAAAGCCUGGUGUAUAAUUGAGGAAGACAAGACAUCAUGAUCAAACAUCAGUGACCCUUAUCCUGCCCCCUUAAAUUUAAUUCCAUAAUCAGCACUUACAUCACGGAGAGGCUGCAGAUAUUACCCAGGCUUCUCGUUCAGCAUUGCACUAUCUAAAAUGAGUCUUGCCUGUAAGGAUCUGUUUUCUUCAAAACUUUGAUCCUGCCCCUUGCUUAGCUUGACAAGCUGCCAGCGAAAUUCUGGAUUUUAGAAAUAGCUUAAACUCAGCCCAUUCCUGCCUUCAAUCAGUUGGUUUUAGAGUUAUUUGUAAUUCCUCAAAGUACUAUCACACAGCAUCCAGCUGGCAUCCAUUUGAAUACAGUUGCUGCUGCUAAAGGGGAAGAAAAAAAGAUAACACCAUCAUUAUGAAGCCUAAUCUUGCAAAUUCAGCAAAAAAUAAACUAUUGAACGCCAUCUCGUGGCACUGCACAGCUAUUUCCUGGCAACACACUGGAGCUCCAACCAUGACAGUGAGGUUUAAUGUUUGACAGGGUUGCUUAAAAAAAAAAAAGGCUGUCAGGGUUAGAAGGAGCCCAUUAUAUGGCCACACUAAAGCUACGAAGCAUUCAUCAUCAUUAAUGCUUUAUCCAUACUUGCAUCUCAACUUUGUAGCCUCAGCAGCUGUCUCCUGGAGCCGCAGCAGAGCCUCAAGCUGCAGAAUGCACCUCUUUGACAUGUGCUUGUGGUUUUUCAAGCAGAGCCAUAGAGAUGCUCCGCACCCACAAAAACAUCUGAACCACUGAACACCACUGCAGCCUUUUGUGGAACAGGAAAAUACUUCCAUCUUCCAGACCAGUAUAUCAACAGCAUCUGAGGCCAUGUUUGCAAGAAGACAUCGGGAACGCCUCUCUGGCAAGAGGGAGCAGAGGACAGGGACUGAGGCCCCCCUGAACGAGCCAGCUCUAGAUUGUGAAGCCAUGUACCAGCCCCACAUGGGACCAAAGCCAAGCUGCACUGCUCACAGACAUCCUGGUUACAGGCUGGUUACACCACUUCAGGCUCCAGCUUAGCAUUUAAUGCAGCACUGUAUUUUGCACAUGGACAUACACGUUGCUCUGAUUAGUUUAACAGUCCUCAGGUAGUGGAAUCUUAGGCCAUGUAAACAUGGACCUGUUUACUCAAAACCCACGCAGGACAUAAUGUGCAAUUCAAAUUCUUAAUUCUGCAAGUAAAUCUGUAUUAUGAGAAUGCCAGAAAACUGAUUUGAAACAGCAACUUUUGAGAACUAACUACAGGGCCUACUUGUCAUGCUUCCAGAGAACAAAAUCACUUAAAGUAGAGCAGAUAUUUCCACAGGAGAGAUAGGAUACUUCAUCCCACUCUGAGCUCUUUCCAUAUGUUCUUAGAUAUGCCCUGCAGCUUUGCAGAGUCUUUCUUGAACCAGCUUCACUGGAAGAGUUUACCCACAGCUGUUUUUUUCCACUGCUCUGAUGGUUUGCUGUCUCACAACAGCUCAACUUGAAAACUUUCUCACAUGAUUCCUGCCCAACUAACAGCUUUGACAACAGUUCUUUCAACCAACUUGUUCUGACUGAAAUGAGUUCGCAAGUUCUCACACAGGCAGUUUUACAGACUGAACUGGAGGGGGCACUCACACAAGCAGCUAGAGGUGGGUCAGCAGCUAGUAUUACCUUCUGCUGGCAGAAAUGGUCUCAGAGAGCAUGUCUGUCUGCACUCUUACUCUCCAGCUUAGUUUUUGAUAAAAUUAUAAGGUAAAGGAAAUUGAUUUCUGAUGUAGUUAGGCAUUCCAAUUUUAGACCAAGGAUAAAUAUUUUUAUAUAUAUAUAUAUAUAUAUAUAUAUAUAUUUAAAUAAAUACAAUUGUUUAUCUAUAGAAAUAAGAUUCCCAACAUGUUGCUUGUAUUCAGUCAGUAUUAUAAAAUAGCAGCACACUUACCAGUCUCGAACCAUUAAUAGACACAAUAAAAUCAAAGAAUGGCU